GACGAACGCUGGCGGCGUGCCUAAUACAUGCGAGUCGAACGCUUCUUUCCUCCCGAGUGCUUGCACUCAAUUGGAAAGGGGAGUGGCGGACGGGUGAGUAACACGUGGGUAACCUACCCAUCAGAGGGGGAUAACACUUGGAAACAGGUGCUAAUACCGCAUAACAGUUUAUGCCUCCUGGCUUAAGAGUGAAAGGCGCUUUCGGGUGUCGUUGAUGGAUGGACCCGCGGUGAAUUAGCUAGUUGGUGGGGGACCGGCUCAACAAGGCCACGGUGCAUAGCCGACCUGAGAGGGUGAUCGCCCACACGGUGAGUGAGACACGGCCCAGACUCCUGCGGGAGGCCGCAGUAGGGAAUCUUAGGGAAUGGACGAAAGUGGGAUCGUGCAACGCCGGGUGAGGGAAGAAGGUGUUCGGAUCGGAAAACGCUGAUGGUAGUGAAGAUGAAGAACGCUAGUAAAUGAGCGGCAUAUGACGGUAACUAAUGAGAAAGCAACGGCUAACUACGUG
Molecule: ribosomal RNA, 508 nt
Filed under: uncultured bacterium
Lineage: Bacteria
Description: partial 16S ribosomal RNA
Rfam family: Bacterial small subunit ribosomal RNA
Source: RNAcentral